This 251-nucleotide ribosomal RNA is filed under the name uncultured bacterium. Its description in RNAcentral is "partial 16S ribosomal RNA". It matches the Rfam family "Bacterial small subunit ribosomal RNA", at positions 525 to 775 of the family's 1533-position model. The record is from RNAcentral.
ACGUAGGUCACAAGCGUUGUCCGGAAUUACUGGGUGUAAAGGGAGCGCAGGCGGGAAGACAAGUUGGAAGUGAAAUCCAUGGGCUCAACUCAUGAACUGCUUUCAAAACUGUUUUUCUUGAGUAGUGCAGAGGUAGGCGGAAUUCCCGGUGUAGCGGUGGAAUGCGUAGAUAUCGGGAGGAACACCAGUGGCGAAGGCGGCCUACUGGGCACCAACUGACGCUGAGGCUCGAAAGUGUGGGUAGCAAACAG